UACGAAGGGGGCUAGCGUUGUUAGGAUUUACUGGGCGUAAAGCGCGUGUAGGCGGGUCGUUAAGUUGGGGGUUAAAUCCCGGAGCUCAACUCCGGAACUGCCUUCAAAACUGGCGACCUGGACUCAAGCAGAGGCAAGUGGAAUUGCGAGUGUAGAGGUGAAAUUCGUAGAUAUUCGCAGGAACACCAGUGGCGAAGGCGACUUGCUGGGCUUGUAGUGACGCUGAGACGCUAAAGCGUGGGGAGCAAACAGG
This 253-nucleotide ribosomal RNA is filed under the name uncultured bacterium. Its description in RNAcentral is "partial 16S ribosomal RNA". It matches the Rfam family "Bacterial small subunit ribosomal RNA", at positions 524 to 776 of the family's 1533-position model. The record is from RNAcentral.